GCCCUUGUGGCUCAAUGGUUAAGCAUUUGGUUGCUAACUGAAAGGUUGGUGGUUCAAAUCCACCCAUUGGCU
Loxodonta africana (African savanna elephant) is the source of this 72-nucleotide transfer RNA. It matches the Rfam family "tRNA". Rfam says of the family: Transfer RNA (tRNA) molecules are approximately 80 nucleotides in length. Their secondary structure includes four short double-helical elements and three loops (D, anti-codon, and T loops). The record is from Rfam. NCBI's taxonomy places the organism in Eukaryota, Metazoa, Chordata, Mammalia, Proboscidea, Elephantidae.